AUUGAACGCUGGCGGCAUGCUUUACACAUGCAAGUCGAACGGUAACAUGGGUGCUUGCACCUGAUGACGAGUGGCGAACGGGUGAGUAAUGCAUCGGAACGUGCCUAGUAGAGGGGGAUAGCUCGGCGAAAGCCGGAUUAAUACCGCAUACGCCCUGAGGGGGAAAGCGGGGGAUCUUCGGACCUCGCGUUAUUAGAGCGGCCGAUGUUCGAUUAGCUAGUUGGUGGGUAAAGGCGCACCAAGGCGACGAUCGAUAGCUGGUCUGAGAGGAUGAUCAGCCACACUGGGACUGAGACACGGCCCAGACUCCUACGGAGGCAGCAGUGGGAAUUUUGGACAAUGGGGAAACCCUGAUCCAGCCAUGCCGCGUGAGUGAAGAAGGCC
This 384-nucleotide ribosomal RNA is filed under the name uncultured bacterium. RNAcentral's name for it is "bacterial SSU rRNA". It matches the Rfam family "Bacterial small subunit ribosomal RNA", at positions 30 to 416 of the family's 1533-position model. The record is from RNAcentral.